This 406-nucleotide ribosomal RNA is filed under the name uncultured bacterium. Its description in RNAcentral is "bacterial SSU rRNA". It matches the Rfam family "Bacterial small subunit ribosomal RNA", at positions 509 to 914 of the family's 1533-position model. The record is from RNAcentral.
CAGCAGCCGCGGUAAUACAGAGGGUGCAAGCGUUAAUCGGAAUUACUGGGCGUAAAGGGCGCGUAGGUGGUUUGGUAAGUUGGAUGUGAAAUCCCCGGGCUCAACCUGGGAAUUGCAUUCAAUACUGCUUGACUAGAGUAUGGUAGAGGGAAGCGGAAUUCCACAUGUAGCGGUGAAAUGCGUAGAUAUGUGGAGGAACAUCAAUGGCGAAGGCAGCUUCCUGGACCAAUACUGACACUGAGGCGCGAAAGCGUGGGUAGCAAACAGGAUUAGAUACCCUGGUAGUCCACGCCCUAAACGAUGAGAACUAGAUGUUGGGAAGUAUAUCUUCUUAGUGUCGCAGCUAACGCGUUAAGUUCUCCGCCUGGGGAGUACGGCCGCAAGGUUGAAACUCAAAGGAAUUGAC